Molecule: ribosomal RNA, 1369 nt
Filed under: uncultured bacterium
Lineage: Bacteria
Description: bacterial SSU rRNA
Rfam family: Bacterial small subunit ribosomal RNA
Source: RNAcentral
GACGAACGCUGGCGGCGUGCCUAAUACAUGCAAGUAGAACGCUGAAGAGAGGAGCUUGCUCUUCUUGGAUGAGUUGCGAACGGGUGAGUAACGCGUAGGUAACCUGCCUGGUAGCGGGGGAUAACUAUUGGAAACGAUAGCUAAUACCGCAUAAAAUUGAUUAUUGCAUGAUAAUUAAUUGAAAGAUGCAACUGCAUCACUACCAGAUGGACCUGCGUUGUAUUAGCUAGUUGGUGAGGUAACGGCUCACCAAGGCGACGAUACAUAGCCGACCUGAGAGGGUGAUCGGCCACACUGGGACUGAGACACGGCCCAGACUCCUACGGGAGGCAGCAGUAGGGAAUCUUCGGCAAUGGGGGGAACCCUGACCGAGCAACGCCGCGUGAGUGAAGAAGGUUUUCGGAUCGUAAAGCUCUGUUGUAAGAGAAGAACGGGUGUGAGAGUGGAAAGUUCACACUGUGACGGUAUCUUACCAGAAAGGGACGGCUAACUACGUGCCAGCAGCCGCGGUAAUACGUAGGUCCCGAGCGUUGUCCGGAUUUAUUGGGCGUAAAGCGAGCGCAGGCGGUUAGAUAAGUCUGAAGUUAAAGGCUGUGGCUUAACCAUAGUAUGCUUUGGAAACUGUUUAACUUGAGUGCAGAAGGGGAGAGUGGAAUUCCAUGUGUAGCGGUGAAAUGCGUAGAUAUAUGGAGGAACACCGGUGGCGAAAGCGGCUCUCUGGUCUGUAACUGACGCUGAGGCUCGAAAGCGUGGGGAGCAAACAGGAUUAGAUACCCCGGUAGUCCACGCCGUAAACGAUGAGUGCUAGGUGUUAGGCCCUUUCCGGGGCUUAGUGCCGCAGCUAACGCAUUAAGCACUCCGCCUGGGGAGUACGACCGCAAGGUUGAAACUCAAAGGAAUUGACGGGGGCCCGCACAAGCGGUGGAGCAUGUGGUUUAAUUCGAAGCAACGCGAAGAACCUUACCAGGUCUUGACAUCCCUCUGACCGCUCUAGAGAUAGAGUUUUCCUUCGGGACAGAGGUGACAGGUGGUGCAUGGUUGUCGUCAGCUCGUGUCGUGAGAUGUUGGGUUAAGUCCCGCAACGAGCGCAACCCCUAUUGUUAGUUGCCAUCAUUCAGUUGGGCACUCUAGCGAGACUGCCGGUAAUAAACCGGAGGAAGGUGGGGAUGACGUCAAAUCAUCAUGCCCCUUAUGACCUGGGCUACACAAGUGCUACAAUGGCUGGUACAACGAGUCGCAAGCCGGUGACGGCAAGCUAAUCUCUGAAAGCCAGUCUCAGUUCGGAUUGUAGGCUGCAACUCGCCUACAUGAAGUCGGAAUCGCUAGUAAUCGCGGAUCAGCACGCCGCGGUGAAUACGUUCCCGGGCCU